UAGAAGAAGGAAUAAAAAUUAUUUAUGUAGUGUGAUCAAAUAAUCCCAAAAUUAAUAAAUUUUCUAUGGCGUAUAUGAGCCAUUAGCUCGUUUAACGGUAUAGAGCAAUCAAAAACUACUUGAAUUUAUAAUACAAAACUUUUAUACGAACUAGAAUAACGUAUGAUCAAUUGAGAAAGCCUAAUCUCUAUUUUUUAUCAGGUUAUUCGUUUUCGACCUUUCAUUCUUUGACUUUUUUUGAUAGACUUGAUAAUCAUUUUUAAAUAUUAUUAAAUUUGAUUUCUAAAUAUUUUAAAUAGAUAGAUCAACAUCAACAGCUCCGUUUAUCAAACUAGAGUUCUGAUUAUCGAAAAUAACUUUGAUGUGCAUCCGAUCAAGUUACAAUCAAACCUCCAAAGUUUUAUAAGGUUAUUUGUUUUCGACCUUAUUCAUUUUUCAAUUUUUUGAUAGACUUGAUAAUCAUUUUUAAAUACUAUAAAAUUUGAUUUCUAAAUAUUUCAAAUAGAUAGAUCAACUUCGAUGGCUCCGUUUAUCAAACUAUGUUGUGAUCAUCG
Molecule: long non-coding RNA, 554 nt
Filed under: Ananas comosus (pineapple)
Lineage: Eukaryota; Viridiplantae; Streptophyta; Magnoliopsida; Poales; Bromeliaceae
Description: long non-coding RNA (ACOM_LNC010017)
Source: RNAcentral